GCACAUUGUAUUGAUUUAAUGUUGGAAGAUAUUGGAAAGAUCGUAGAAAUCAAAAAAACCUUAGAAAGGGCAAUUUUUGUUGUUGGAUUUCUUUAUAAUCACAUUGGGGCUUUGAAUAUGAUGAGAGAAUUUACAGGGAAUAAAGAAUUAGUGAGACAUGGUGUUACCCGAUUUGCUACUUCAUUCUUGACAUUACAGAGCGUGCAUCGUCAAAAACAUACUCUGAGAAAUAUGUUUACCUCUGAGAAAUGGGUGACAAGUAAAUGGGCAAAAGAAACAAAAGGCAAGAGGGCUGCUGAUAUCAUCUUAAUGUCAUCCUUUUGGAAUCAUGUAGUUUAUAUAUUAAAGGUAAUGGGCCCUUUUGUUCGAGUCAUUCGGUUGGUGGAUAAUGAAAAUAAGCCUGCAAUGGGAUAUAUUUAUGAGGCUAUGGAUAGAGCAAAGGAGACGAUUAAAAGAUCUUUUAAUGAAAAUGAAGAAAAAUAUGAGAAAAUUUUUACAAUCAUUGACGAAAGAUGGAAUUGUCAACUUCAUCGUCCCUUACAUGCAGCAGGAUAUUAUUUGAACCCUGAAUUCUUUUAUAAAAUUAAAUCUGUUGGAUUUGAUGCAGAAGUUUUGGGUGGGUUAUAUCAGUGUGUUGCAAGAUUAGUCCCCAGCAUUGAGAUUUAAGAUAAGAUUAUUCAUGAAUUAUCUUUAUAUAAAAAUGCUGAAGGUCUUUUUGGAAUUUCAAUUGCCGUUCGAUCCAGGACAACUACCUCUCCAAGUAUUAAUAAUUUGAUAUAAUUAAUUUCAUAUAUAUUAUGUUACUAUGUUAUUGCUAAUAAUAACAUAAAUUUUGCAGCUGAAUGGUGGAGUCUAUUUGGAAAUUCCAUCUCGAACUUACAGAAAUUUGCUAUCAAAGUACUUAGUUUGACAUGUAGUGCUUCGGGUUGUGAGCGAAACUGGAGUGUCUUUGAGCAUAUUCACUCGAAGAGAAGAAAUCGGUUAGAACAUCAACGAUUGCACGAUCUUGUUUACAUAAAGUAUAAUCAAGCUUUGAAGACUCGUCAUGAUUUGAAAAAUAGAUUUGAUUCAAUCUCAUUGCAAGAUAUUGAUGAUUCAAAUGAGUGGUUAGUAGGAGAAAUGGGUGCUAACUUGCAAGAUGCUGAAGAUGAGCUUGUAUUUGAAGAUGAUAGAUUGACGUGGGGAGAUGUGGCAAGAGCUUCAGGUGUUGGAGAAUUACAAACAUAUACAAGACAGAUGUCAAAGAGAAAAAUGAGUGCAAAAGCAUCAAGCUCGGCUCCUGCUAUUGUUGAAGACAGAGAAUGAAACAUAUCUUGAUGAAGAGGAAGGAAUCGAAGAACAAGAGGAAGAAGACGAAUUCAAUGAAGAUGAUUUGUGUGAAAAUGACGAUAAUAUUGAUUAUGAUAAAUGACUUUGAUGUAAAAUUUUAAUGUUUUGAAUUUUGAAACUUUUUGUUAAUGUGACAUAGUGAUUUUGUA
Molecule: long non-coding RNA, 1478 nt
Organism: Musa acuminata AAA Group (dessert banana)
Lineage: Eukaryota; Viridiplantae; Streptophyta; Magnoliopsida; Zingiberales; Musaceae
Exons: 2
Source: RefSeq, a predicted model, not a curated record